Molecule: ribosomal RNA, 497 nt
Filed under: uncultured bacterium
Lineage: Bacteria
Description: partial 16S ribosomal RNA
Rfam family: Bacterial small subunit ribosomal RNA
Source: RNAcentral
GAUGGACGCUGGCGGCGUGCCUAAUACAUGCAAGUCGAGCGAACGGACGAGAAGCUUGCUUCUCUGAUGUUAGCGGCGGACGGGUGAGUAACACGUGGAUAACCUACCUAUAAGACUGGGAUAACUUCGGGAAACCGUAGCUAAUACCGGAUAAUAUUUUGAACCGCAUGGUUCAAAAGUGAAAGACGGUCUUGCUGUCACUUAUAGAUGGAUCCGCGCUGCAUUAGCUAGUUGGUAAGGUAACGGCUUACCAAGGCAACGAUGCAUAGCCGACCUGAGAGGGUGAUCGGCCACACUGGAACUGAGACACGGUCCAGACUCCUACGGGAGGCAGCAGUAGGGAAUCUUCCGCAAUGGGCGAAAGCCUGACGGAGCAACGCCGCGUGAGUGAUGAAGGUCUUCGGAUCGUAAAACUCUGUUAUUAGGGAAGGACAUAUGUGUAAGUAACUGUGCACAUCUUGACGGUACCUAAUCAGAAAGCCACGGCUAACUACGUG